Molecule: ribosomal RNA, 497 nt
Filed under: uncultured bacterium
Lineage: Bacteria
Description: partial 16S ribosomal RNA
Rfam family: Bacterial small subunit ribosomal RNA
Source: RNAcentral
GAUGAACGCUGGCGGCGUGCCUAAUACAUGCAAGUCGAGCGAACAGACGAGGAGCUUGCUCCUCUGACGUUAGCGGCGGACGGGUGAGUAACACGUGGAUAACCUACCUAUAAGACUGGGAUAACUUCGGGAAACCGGAGCUAAUACCGGAUAAUAUAUUGAACCGCAUGGUUCAAUAGUGAAAGACGGUUUUGCUGUCACUUAUAGAUGGAUCCGCGCCGCAUUAGCUAGUUGGUAAGGUAACGGCUUACCAAGGCAACGAUGCGUAGCCGACCUGAGAGGGUGAACGGCCACACUGGAACUGAGACACGGUCCAGACUCCUACGGGAGGCAGCAGUAGGGAAUCUUCCGCAAUGGGCGAAAGCCUGACGGAGCAACGCUGCGUGAGUGAUGAAGGUCUUCGGAUCGUAAAACUCUGUUAUUAGGGAAGAACAAAUGUGUAAGUAACUAUGCACGUCUUGACGGUACCUAAUCAGAAAGCCACGGCUAACUACGUG